RNAcentral lists this ribosomal RNA (266 nucleotides) under Aporrectodea rosea. RNAcentral's name for it is "partial 12S ribosomal RNA". The record is from RNAcentral. Lineage: Eukaryota; Metazoa; Annelida; Clitellata; Crassiclitellata; Lumbricidae.
ACACCUCUAAAAGUAAUAAGUAUGCAAUCAUGACUAUACUCAUUUACGUCAGGUCAAAGUGCAGCUAAUGAGAUGGUAAUGAUGGGUUACAUCCUAAACAAAGAUACGAAAUAGGACACUAAAAGUCAUAUAAAGGUGGACUUGGACGUAAUAAUAAUACCAAAUUAUAAUGAAAACGAAUCUAAGACAUGCACACAUCGCCCGUCACUCUCACCCGAAGGUGAGAUAAGUCGUAACAAAGUAGGUGUAACGGAAGUUGCACCUGU